UAUGCCAAGCAGAUGGAUGCCAUCCUGA
This 28-nucleotide non-coding RNA is filed under the name Homo sapiens (human). The record is from RNAcentral. Lineage: Eukaryota; Metazoa; Chordata; Mammalia; Primates; Hominidae.